This 253-nucleotide ribosomal RNA is filed under the name uncultured bacterium. Its description in RNAcentral is "partial 16S ribosomal RNA". It matches the Rfam family "Bacterial small subunit ribosomal RNA", at positions 524 to 776 of the family's 1533-position model. The record is from RNAcentral.
UACGUAGGGUGCAAGCGUUAAUCGGAAUUACUGGGCGUAAAGCGUGCGCAGGCGGUUGGGCAAGUCAGAUGUGAAAUCCCCGGGCUUAACCUGGGAACUGCAUUUGUGACUGCCCGGCUAGAGUGUGUCAGAGGGGGGUAGAAUUCCACGUGUAGCAGUGAAAUGCGUAGAUAUGUGGAGGAAUACCGAUGGCGAAGGCAGCCCCCUGGGAUAACACUGACGCUCAUGCACGAAAGCGUGGGGAGCAAACAGG